RNAcentral lists this ribosomal RNA (253 nucleotides) under uncultured bacterium. RNAcentral describes it as "partial 16S ribosomal RNA". It matches the Rfam family "Bacterial small subunit ribosomal RNA", at positions 524 to 776 of the family's 1533-position model. The record is from RNAcentral.
UACAGAGGGUGCAAGCGUUAAUCGGAGUUACUGGGCGUAAAGGGCGCGUAGGCGGAUAUGUAAGUGAGAUGUGAAAGCCCUGGGCUUAACCUAGGAACUGCAUCUUAAACUGCGUAUCUAGAGUAUUGUAGAGGGUAGUGGAAUUUCCGGUGUAGCGGUGAAAUGCGUAGAGAUCGGAAGGAACACCAGUGGCGAAGGCGGCUACCUGGACAAAUACUGACGCUGAGGCGCGAAAGCGUGGGGAUCAAACAGG